Molecule: transfer RNA, 90 nt
Filed under: Bacteroidales bacterium
Lineage: Bacteria; Pseudomonadati; Bacteroidota; Bacteroidia; Bacteroidales
Also listed under: 2 other names
Description: tRNA-Arg
Rfam family: tRNA
About the family: Transfer RNA (tRNA) molecules are approximately 80 nucleotides in length. Their secondary structure includes four short double-helical elements and three loops (D, anti-codon, and T loops).
Source: RNAcentral
CGCCCGGUAGCUCAGCGGUAGAGCGGCAUGGAAUCCGGAUCAUCCGGACAACUCAUGCGGUCGGCGGUUCGACCCCGCCCCGGGUGCCCA